GAAGCUGCAGAAACAACACUGACCACCUAUCUCUAAGCCACUGCCGAUGUGAGAAUUGACAUAUUUUAGUUGAAAUACUUUUUUGGACUACAGACUAAUGUGAAUACUUGCCUAUUUCUACCUGAGUUACAGCAAAUGUUCUGAGAACUUAUUGCGGUCCACCAAAUAAAUUCCAUUGGAGAUAUUGUAGAUGCCUGUGUGCCUUAGAAACUUUAGAGGCCACAGGAGGCUCAGGAGUGCAAGACCAUCGUCACCCGCAAAGGAACCAUGUGCUUGGGUAGCAAGAUUAUACUUUGUUAAUAUGAUCAAUUAUUCCAGUUAAUGGAUUUUCUUAUGCAGUGCAGAUGGGAUAGAUCCUUUCAUAGUUUGUACUAGAUAUGAAGCUCCACUAGGACGUGUCGAGAAGAAUCAUCAGGUGACCACACUGUCCUUGUCUUCUGAGAGGUCCAUACCUGGGAACACCGUCACUGUGCUAGCUGCAUAAUGUAAUGUAGAAAUUUGUCAGUGUUGAGAGCUUUUGGUUGACAAAAUGCCUUUCUUCCCUUGCAUGGUAAAAUUGCUCAUUGACAUUCUCACUAAGGAGUGAAAUUUUCAGGGGUUUAUUUAUCUCAGGAGUUAAUUUUCGGGGGUUUAGGAGAUAAUUUAGUCGUAGAAUGUUUGCCUAAUAAAGUCUUGGACUUGUUCCUCA
Molecule: long non-coding RNA, 688 nt
Filed under: Mus spicilegus (steppe mouse)
Lineage: Eukaryota; Metazoa; Chordata; Mammalia; Rodentia; Muridae
Description: lncRNA (ENSMSIG00000021347.1)
Source: RNAcentral